UUUAAUAUUUUCUUAUCAAGUGUUAGUUGACACAUCCCGACCCGGAUUGUUCACUAGGACUCCGAAUCGAGUUGUGUUGGCCGACACCUGGAAGGUAACGAAGCCAUAAGGUGUAAUGAUGUGGAAUAUGUGAAUAAAUUUAAACCUAGAAGUGCCUAAAUACGAGAGUGCGCUGUGAGCGAGAAUGAACCCAUUUCACACGUGACGUCAAAGCAUAAGUAAAGUAUAGUAGAGUGGAUUGAAAAUCAUACCAUCGAAGGUAAUCUCUAAUACCAAGAUUUGCCACGAAUCCUCGUCGAUACUAAAACUAUGCUACUAGAACCUGGAAGGAAAAAGAAACAAGAGUGAGUGGGCCUGAAAAUAACGCUUUAAUAAAGACCUUCUAAACGUUAUAAUCCCUCGCUAUAAUACCUGUAUAGUUUCCAAGAAAUCAUACUAUGUAUAAGUAUGAAAUCAAAUGUAAAUCAAUAGUAAAUCCAGGAAUAUUCCAAAUCACUACAUGGCAACAGCAUAAAAAUCAAGUGCUCAUCAACCUAUGAUAACACAUUAGUUGGAGUUGUCUAAUGCAACAUGUACCACUCAUAAAUCAAUCUAUGAUAACACAUGAGUCGGAGUUGUCUAAUGCAACAUGUACGACUCAUAGGCAACAUGUAUGACAAUGUUGGAGUUGCUUAUUAUUGCAACCUGUAUGACAAUGUCGGAGUUGCCUAAAACACAAAUAUAGUCAUGCCAUAACUUAUUCAUUCCAGAUAACACCAUAAAUUCACCUGAACUUACCUCAUGACCCGCGUUCACCUUAGCACUUCAAAGCAUUCACAACAAUUAUAUAUAGGUAAUAUGCAUAUGGAUAUGCCAUGACUCAAUAUAAAACUCAACCACAUCAUAGUAUUUUAGAAAAUAUAAAGGAAAUUGUUAUUGGCAUAAAAUGCAUAAUUCAAUUUAAAAGCAUUUGUGGAACUAUCAGUUAUAUAUAUAUAUAUAUAUAUAUAUAUAUAUAUAUAUAUAUAUAUAUAUAUAUAUAUAUAUAUAUAUAUAUAUAUAUAUAUACGAUAAAAAAAGAUAAGACUCACUCACCUGAGGUCCACACUACGACUCCUCAGCAUGAAUAUUGAGACGUCACGAAUGACCAUCACUUAGAAUAAAUAUUCAAUCAUGUCUCAGAACUCUUAUCAAUAAAACAUGUAACUUACAUAAAACACAUCCCAAGGACAUUCUAGAAUGAUUUGAGACCCCUUUGACCAAAAGUCAACCGUUGGUCAAAGAUCAAUGGUAGGGUCCACAACCCUACAUAACUAAAUCCGGAAGAUAUGCAUCUUGGAUUUUCGAUUCGUAACUUCUAAAAAUCCACAUUAUACUUCUAGGACAUCAUACUAAAGUUUCAUUACUAUCCAACGAUUGGAUCUCUGCUAAUUGCCAAUUCAAGGGGAGGUCAACGUUAUAUUUUACAAACUUACAAAUCUAAUUUGGGAAGAUCUGUACGUCAGAAUCUUAAUCUGUAAGUUUCUAAUAUCCUCAAAUAUUAUGUACUAUAGCGUAUUAAAGUUUGGUGACGAUCCCAAGGUUGGAUCGUCAAUUCACAUAAUGUUCAAGUAGCGGUCUUUAACCAAACUAUAUUCAAACGAUGAGAUUUCAACAAUCAGACACCUUAGCUUAGGAAGGUCAGGGGGUGACCUGGCUCACGCGUUGCCGCACACGGCGGUCGGCUGCCCCGAUUCGCAGGAAAAUUCAACUAUCCCCAAAAAUUCUCAAAUUCUAUAGAAAUGAAGAUCUCCAAGAGUAUAGCAAGUUUUAUACAUGUGGUCAAGUCCAAUUUGGCUGGGAAAGGCUCCAAUUUCACUCAAACCCGUCGGAACCCUAAAAUUGGUGAAUUUCGAUUCUCCUUCCUCGGUGCUCCAACAUCUCUACCACUGGUUGGGUCUUGUUCAUGGGUCCAAGGGAAGUUGAUUAAGGGUGGUGAUGGGUGGUGAGACUCACCGGAACAGCGAAUCGCCGUUGAGAACCUCCGUGUUCUCUGGUAUGGUUUUACUCGAAAUUGGCCUUAAAAACCCUGAAAUUUGAGCAAAUAUGGUAGAUGAGAGGUUGUGGAAUAAGUUGUAGGUGGUGGAGGGGUGAGAAUGGCCUGAAAAAUGGUGGCAAUUGGCUGGAAUUCAUCCGGGUUGAAGUCGGGUUUGUGGGUGCACGGGUUAACGGGAAAGGGUGGUUCUUUCUCACCCUUCCUGAUUGGUCCCUCAUUUUCUCCUCCUUUCUAAUCGGUCCUUAGUUCCAUUUAAAUUGAUUGGUCCUAUAUUCCCUUGUUGAAAGCUCAUUGGCUUCCUUCCCACAAGAUGGGAGCUCAAAUUAUUUAACUAACUUUAAAUAAUCAAUUUCAAACAUUUGUAACUAUACCGUUAUAAUUCAAACUCAAACGGUUUUCGCCUAUGCGUUCGUAGUUUCAAAAUCUAUUCGAAAACAUUAAUUGUGACUUCGAACGGUCAACGAAAGUCAAACAUCCUUGCCUCUAAGGGCAUUUUCGAAAAAUCACUACUUUAAAAUUUAUAAAACUUAAAAUUUGGGAUGUGAUGUCACAUUAGUGGUGUGUAAAAAAUAUUAAAAAUUAAAAAGGUGUGAGAGAAGUAAUUUGGGGAGUGUGAAUAUAAUCUCUCUAAAUAAAAAUGUUGAUUGAUUGCAAACAACACAUAAUAAUAUAUAACAAAAUGUGUCUAAUGUAUACAUGCAAAAUAAUUUACCUACAAUGAUUGUCAAACAAAUAUAUGAAAUGGAACAGAUGAUGAUAAGACAAGUAUAAAGUAGAUACUUUUGUAAUUUACCUAUAGAAUAAAUGAAUGUUGAUUGAUUGCAAACAACAUAAUAAUAACAAAUGUGCCUAAUAUAUGUAAUAAUACAUGCAAAAUUAUUCACCUACAAAAUAAAAAUAUGUUUUCAGCCAAUUGAUUCAAAGUUAAUUAAUUACCUAUAUUCUACUUAAAAAUAUAAGUAAUUUAUUUCACACAGAUAUAAUAAUAACAAAAUGUGCCUAAUGUAUACAUGCAAAAUAAUUUACCUACAAUGAUUGUCAAACAAAUAUAAGAAAUGGAACAGAUGAUGGUAAGACAAGUAUAAAAUAUAUACUUUUGUAAUAAUAAAGCUCUUAUUUGCCAUAAUUAUGGUGGAUAAUUAAAUUCAUAAACAUAAUUAGGGUGAUGUGGCACAAUUGUAAAUAUUUUGAAAAUAAUAAGUAUUUAUUUGUUUUCAUGGCAGUUUAUUUCAAAUUUAGGUUUUAUUUGGAUGUUUAAAACGAGAUGGGUUUUUGUCAAGAAAAUAAGUGUUGCAUGGGCUUAUAUCUAAAGUGUGACAACCCGUCCCUAAUUUUACGUUUUUAUAAAUUUUAAAAGCGUGAAUUGACGAAAAUGCCCUAGAGGCAAGGACUUUGACUUCCGUUGACCCUCGUUUAGAGAAACGUUUAACUUAUUCUUUUAGCGUAUUUAAGUAAUACUCGUCACUACGCAUAGGCGAAAGCCAUUUAUGAGUCUAGAUUAUAACAAUAUAGUUAUGGACGUUUAAAGUUGGUUAUUUAAAGGUAGUUAAAUUAUUUGAAGUCCCACCUUGUAUGAUUGAGAACCAAUCAACAUAUGGGUUAAGGGGACCAACCUGAUUUGGAGGGAGAGAAAGUGAGAGCCAAUGAGGAAAAAGAAAGGAAAAA
Molecule: long non-coding RNA, 3679 nt
Filed under: Malus domestica (apple)
Lineage: Eukaryota; Viridiplantae; Streptophyta; Magnoliopsida; Rosales; Rosaceae
Description: long non-coding RNA (MDOM_LNC014973)
Source: RNAcentral